AUUUAUAUAGUAUAAAAAUUAUUUUUGAUUUCCAAUCAAAAGAUCUAUAUUAAUUAGUAUAAAUA
This 65-nucleotide transfer RNA is filed under the name Ochthebius paradoxus. RNAcentral describes it as "tRNA-Gly". The record is from RNAcentral. Lineage: Eukaryota; Metazoa; Arthropoda; Insecta; Coleoptera; Hydraenidae.